GUGUCAGCCGCCGCGGUAAUACGGAGGGUGCAAGCGUUAUCCGGAUUCAUUGGGUUUAAAGGGUGCGUAGGCGGAGCGGUAAGUCAGUGGUGAAAUCCUGCAGCUUAACUGUAGAAUUGCCAUUGAUACUGCCGUCCUUGAGUGCGCUCGACGUGGGCGGAAUGUGCCGUGUAGCGGUGAAAUGCUUAGAUAUGGCACAGAACACCGAUAGUGAAGACAGCUCUCGAGGGCGUUACUGACGCUGAGGCACGUAAGCGUGGGGAUCGAACAGGAUUAGAUACCCUGGUAGUCCACGCUGUAAACGAUGAUCACUCGAGAUCGGCGAUACACGGUCGGUCUCCUAGCGAAAGCGUUAAGUGAUCCACCUGGGGAGUACGACCGCAAGGUUGAA
RNAcentral lists this ribosomal RNA (391 nucleotides) under uncultured bacterium. Its description in RNAcentral is "bacterial SSU rRNA". It matches the Rfam family "Bacterial small subunit ribosomal RNA", at positions 505 to 898 of the family's 1533-position model. The record is from RNAcentral.